This 748-nucleotide ribosomal RNA is filed under the name uncultured Pseudomonadota bacterium. RNAcentral's name for it is "bacterial SSU rRNA". It matches the Rfam family "Bacterial small subunit ribosomal RNA", at positions 33 to 771 of the family's 1533-position model. The record is from RNAcentral. Lineage: Bacteria; Pseudomonadati; Pseudomonadota.
ACGCUGGCGGCAGGCCUAACACAUGCAAGUCGAACGGUAACAGGAAGAAGCUUGCUUCUUUGCUGACGAGUGGCGGACGGGUGAGUAAUGUCUGGGAAACUGCCUGAUGGAGGGGGAUAACUACUGGAAACGGUAGCUAAUACCGCAUAACGUCGCAAGACCAAAGAGGGGGACCUUCGGGCCUCUUGCCAUCGGAUGUGCCCAGAUGGGAUUAGCUAGUAGGUGGGGUAACGGCUCACCUAGGCGACGAUCCCUAGCUGGUCUGAGAGGAUGACCAGCCACACUGGAACUGAGACACGGUCCAGACUCCUACGGGAGGCAGCAGUGGGGAAUAUUGCACAAUGGGCGCAAGCCUGAUGCAGCCAUGCCGCGUGUAUGAAGAAGGCCUUCGGGUUGUAAAGUACUUUCAGCGGGGAGGAAGGGAGUAAAGUUAAUACCUUUGCUCAUUGACGUUACCCGCAGAAGAAGCACCGGCUAACUCCGUGCCAGCAGCCGCGGUAAUACGGAGGGUGCAAGCGUUAAUCGGAAUUACUGGGCGUAAAGCGCACGCAGGCGGUUUGUUAAGUCAGAUGUGAAAUCCCCGGGCUCAACCUGGGAACUGCAUCUGAUACUGGCAAGCUUGAGUCUCGUAGAGGGGGGUAGAAUUCCAGGUGUAGCGGUGAAAUGCGUAGAGAUCUGGAGGAAUACCGGUGGCGAAGGCGGCCCCCUGGACGAAGACUGACGCUCAGGUGCGAAGCGUGGGGAGCAA